CCUCACGGCACGGCACGGCAAAAAAAAAAAAAAAAUACAAAAAACCCACCUGAACAGAAACGGUAUAAAGCUGAAAUAAAUGCAUUAGUAUUUUUUUUUAUCAAGUCGUCUUAUAUUGUCAUUUGCCCAUAUUCGCAACAUGUUGGGCCACGCCCCCAUCAACAGCGCAAGACACAAACCAACGUGCCUGCAUUCUGACAGCGCUUCAAUGGAGACUAGCAGCUAACCACUGGAUACCACUGUAACUAACAGACAUUUCCAAGUCCAGGGGUGAAGCUCCAGCGCAACCUCAACUAAAUUUCCCCAAGACACUCCAGGGAAACCGAAACAGGAGCUUCAAUGGUGAGUGGUAUGCAGUCCACCCCUGGUUAGAAUACUCCAUAAGUGAAGACUCUACCUCUAACAAACAAAAAAGACAAUUAUGUAAAAUUAUUUACAUGGAUCUACCUACACUCACUCACACACUCACUCACACACUCACACCCACACAAGCAAACAAAGAGUGCCCCUUGUAGACCUGGUUUGUCAGUGCUCUGUUUUCAUUCAGCACCACAAUCUGCUCUAUUGUUCACUGUUUGUAGUGAUACUGUUCAAUGUACAUUAUACAUAUUGUUGAUAUUUUUUUUCUUUAUGUAUUAUGGGACAUGUGCAUGUGAUGUAAUGUUUUUGCUUUUCUUUCUCUUUAUAUAUACAUAUGUAUAUGUAUAUAUUAUCGCAAAUGAAUGGAAUAUUGCACUUAAAAUGCUACAGUUUACCUAAAUAAAUUAUCGCCUAAAAUGACAA
This is a long non-coding RNA of Clupea harengus (Atlantic herring), 783 nucleotides long. RefSeq lists it as uncharacterized. The transcript is spliced from 2 exons. NCBI's taxonomy places the organism in Eukaryota, Metazoa, Chordata, Actinopteri, Clupeiformes, Clupeidae. The record is from RefSeq and is a predicted model, not a curated record.